AGAGUUUGAUCCUGGCUCAGAAUCAACGCUGGCGGCGCGCUUAACACAUGCAAGUCGCACGAGAAAGGGAGCAAUCCUGAGUAAAGUGGCGUACGGGUGAGUAACACGUGGAUCAUCUACCUUUUAGUGGGGAAUACCUCCGGGAAACUGGAGACAAUACCGCAUAAGCUCGUGAGAGGAAAGCAGCAAUGCGCUGAAAGAGGAGUCCGCGGCUGAUUAGCUAGUUGGCGGGGUAACGGCCCACCAAGGCGAAGAUCGGUAGCCGGCCUGAGAGGGCACACGGCCACACUGGCACUGAAACACGGGCCAGACUCCUACGGGAGGCAGCAGUGGGGAAUCUUGCACAAUGGGGGAAACCCUGAUGCAGCGACGCCGCGUGAGCGAUGAAGCCCUUCGGGGUGUAAAGCUCUUUCGACGGGAACGAUAAUGACGGUACCCGAAGAAGAAGCUGCGGCUAACUACGUGCCAGCAGCCGCGGUAAUACGUAGGCAGCAAGCGUUGUUCGGAAUUACUGGGCGUAAAGAGUGUGUAGGCGGUGUUCUAAGUCUGUUGUGAAAUCUCCCGGCUCAACUGGGAGGGUGCGGCGGAGACUGGAAUGCUAGAGUAUGGGAGAGGUAAGCGGAAUUCCUGGUGUAGCGGUGAAAUGCGUAGAUAUCAGGAGGAACACCUGUGGUGUAGACAGCUUACUGGACCAUGACUGACGCUGAGACACGAAAGCGUGGGUAGCAAACAGGAUUAGAUACCCUGGUAGUCCACGCCCUAAACGAUGCAUACUUGGUGUGAGCCAUUCAUUUGGUUCGUGCCGGAGCUAACGCGUUAAGUAUGCCGCCUGGGGAGUACGGUCGCAAGGCUGAAACUCAAAGGAAUUGACGGGGGCCCGCACAAGCGGUGGAGCAUGGUGGUUCAAUUCGACGCA
RNAcentral lists this ribosomal RNA (916 nucleotides) under uncultured bacterium. Its description in RNAcentral is "bacterial SSU rRNA". It matches the Rfam family "Bacterial small subunit ribosomal RNA", at positions 8 to 958 of the family's 1533-position model. The record is from RNAcentral.